UACAGGGAGGGGUUUUUGAGUCUGCUUUGGAGAUGGGGAUGUCCAAGAAGUGGCCCCUUAGGCCACACAAAAGCCAAGUGUCUCUUAUGAUCACAGUGCUGAGGCGCUCAGGGCAGAGCAGUCUUGGAGUGUAUUGUGUCACGUGGCUAUCGUGCAUUCUGUGUUUUUGGCUGUUUCAUGUCUUUUCCCUUAGCCCUUUGAAGGGCCUAACAGAAACCCUGGCAUCAUUCUUAGCAUCUGUGAUCUCUGCAUUUCUUGGCCUGGUACCAAUGCCAUAGGACUUUUGACUCGGGAGCUCAAACAGGCAUUGGAAUUGCAUUUCUCUUUAGGAGCAUCCGGUCUGAUGUCUUUGCAGGUCUUGUUCUGAGCAGUACGUACUGCUGUGCAUCGCAAGGAUCCAUUAUGGCAGAUUAGGGCUUGUAAGAAUACAAAGAUAGGUAGAGGAUUCUGGCCGUAGGAUUCUCAGACAUCCAUCUUUGUAGUUCUUGGAAUAAACCAUUGUCUUAGCAGGUUCUUCCUCCAGGGUUCUGUGAGCCUCAUCAGCGCACCAUCGGUCUCAUCUAUGUCCUCUCAUUUUGCAUUCUCUUGGUCCUUGCAGUCGUUCCUCUUGCCAAGAGAUUUCUGUCCCUGUUGUGUCCCCAUUGUUUGUCCUGUCCUGUUCUGUGUCACUGGUGUCUGCACGUGUUUGUGCCAGAGCUGCUCUGCCCUGCUGCAUAGUCUGGUGUGAUAUGACAAAUCCUGUGGGCUUGAAAUUUGUAGUGUGGGGUGUAGUUGGACUCUAGAUGAUAUUCCUAGGCUGACCCAGAUGGCUGGAGCUGUGAAGUGGUCCUGCAGCCCUUUGACAUUUGUCCUAACUUUCUUUCAGAUGCAGAUGGAUAAAAUCCAUGGCAGAGCACCCCAUCCCAGAAAGUAACGCUGAAUAUCAGCAGUCAAGGCGAGAUGGUCAAGGCAAUCCAUUUGGAGUAUGCAUAACUCCCCGUCACACACUGGCCGAUGCACUGUGAUCGUUGCUCUUGUGAGCCCUGUGGAAGUAUUACAGGACUUGGUGAUGAAGCCUCUGCCUUUCCUAUUUAAAUGUGUCACCCGGGUAGCCUUUGGCAAUGGCUGAGGAGUUGCAGUGAACCCUGCGAUGACGGCGUCAGCCUCCGAGCACAGAUGAAGCGUGCGGCAUUCAUAAGAGACCCAGGCAUUGCUCGGAGAACGAGACAACGGCCCGGUGACAGCAGGAACUUCCCAGAUGGCGAGGCGGCCUUCUUUUGCACCUGACACGGACCGGCAUCUCUACAGAUAAGUCGAUGGCUAUGACCCACAGAGGGGAUGAUAGUGGGGUGCUGGGUUGGGACUUACAGGGAGGGAUUUUUGAGUCUGCUUUGGUGAUGGGGAUGUCCAAGAAGUGGCCCCUUAGGCCACACAAAAGCCAAGCGUCACUUUUGAUCCCAGUGCUGAGGUGCGCAGGGCAGAGCAGUCCUGGAGUGUAUCGUGUCAGUUGUCUAUUGUGCGUUCUGUGUGUUUGGCUUUCUCAUGUCUUUUACCUUAGCCCUUUGAGGGGCCUAUCAGAAACCCUGGCAUCAUUCUUAGCAUCUGUGAUCUCUGCCUUUCUUGGCCUGGCACCAAUGCCACAGGACUUUUGACUCGGGAGCUCGGACAGGCUUCAGAAUUGCACCUCUCUUUAGAAGCAUCCAGUCAGAUGUCUUUGCAGGUCUUGUUCUGAGCUGUAUGGACAGCUGUGCCUUGCAAGGAUCUAUUAUUGGGGAUUAGGACUUGUAAGAAUGUGAGGAUAGGUAGAGGAUGCUGACCGUAGGAUUCACAGGCAUCCAUCUUUGCAGUUCUUAAAAGAAAUCAUUCAGUUAGCAUCAUUUUCCUCCACGGUUCUCUGAGCCUCAUCGGCUCACCAUCGGUCUCACCUAUGUCCUCUCAUUUUGCAUUCUCUGGGUCCUUGCAGUCAUUCCUCUUGCCAAGAGAUUUCUGUCCCUGUUGUGUCCCCAUUGUUUGUCCUGUCCUGUUCUGUGUCACUGGUGUCUGCACGUGUUUGUGCCAGAGCUGCUCUGCCCUGCUGCAUAGUCUGGUGUGAUAUGACAAAUCCUGUGGGCUUGAAAUUUGUAGUGUGGGGUGUAGUUGGACUCUAGAUGAUAUUCCUAGGCUGACCCAGAUGGCUGGAGCUGUGAAGUGGUCCUGCAGCCCUUUGACAUUUGUCCUAACUUUCUUUCAGAUGCAGAUGGAUAAAAUCCAUGGCAGAGCACCCCAUCCCAGAAAGUAACGCUGAAUAUCAGCAGUCAAGGCGAGAUGGUCAAGGCAAUCCAUUUGGAGUAUGCAUAACUCCCCGUCACACACUGGCCGAUGCACUGUGAUCGUUGCUCUCGUGAGCCCUGUGGAAGUAUUACAGGACUUGGUGAUGAAGCCUCUGCCUUUCCUAUUUAAAUGUGUCACCCGGGUAGCCUUUGGCAAUGGCUGAGGAGUUGCAGUGAACCCUGCGAUGACGGCGUCAGCCUCCGAGCACAGAUGAAGCGUGCGGCAUUCAUAAGAGACCCAGGCAUUGCUCGGAGAACGAGACAACGGCCCGGUGACAGCAGGAACUUCCCAGAUGGCGAGGCGGCCUUCUUUUGCACCUGACACGGACCGGCAUCUCUACAUAUAAGUCGAUGGCUAUGACCCACAGAGGGGAUGAUAGUGGGGUGCUGGGUUGGGACUUACAGGGAGGGAUUUUUGAGUCUGCUUUGGUGAUGGGGAUGUCCAAGAAGUGGCCCCUUAGGCCACACAAAAGCCAAGCGUCACUUUUGAUCCCAGUGCUGAGGUGCGCAGGGCAGAGCAGUCCUGGAGUGUAUCGUGUCAGUUGUCUAUUGUGCGUUCUGUGUGUUUGGCUUUCUCAUGUCUUUUACCUUAGCCCUUUGAGGGGCCUAUCAGAAACCCUGGCAUCAUUCUUAGCAUCUGUGAUCUCUGCCUUUCUUGGCCUGGCACCAAUGCCACAGGACUUUUGACUCGGGAGCUCGGACAGGCUUCAGAAUUGCACCUCUCUUUAGAAGCAUCCAGUCAGAUGUCUUUGCAGGUCUUGUUCUGAGCUGUAUGGACAGCUGUGCCUUGCAAGGAUCUAUUAUUGGGGAUUAGGACUUGUAAGAAUGUGAGGAUAGGUAGAGGAUGCUGACCGUAGGAUUCACAGGCAUCCAUCUUUGCAGUUCUUAAAAGAAAUCAUUCAGUUAGCAUCAUUUUCCUCCACGGUUCUCUGAGCCUCAUCGGCUCACCAUCGGUCUCACCUAUGUCCUCUCAUUUUGCAUUCUCUGGGUCCUUGCAGUCAUUCCUCUUGCCAAGAGAUUCCUGUCCCUGUUGUGUCCCCAUUGUUUGUCCUGUCCUGUUCUGUGUCACUGGUGUCUGCACGUGUUUGUGCCAGAGCUGCUCUGCCUUGCUGCAUAGUCUGGUGUAAUAGGACAAAUCCUGGGGGCUUGAAAUUUGUAGUGUGGGCUGUAGUUGGACUCUAGAUGAUAUUCCUAGGCUGACCCAGAUGGCUGGAGCUGUGAAGUGGUCCUGCAGCCCUUUGACAUUUGUCCUAAUUUUCUUUCAGAUGCAGAUGGAUAAAAUCCAUGGCAGAGCACCCCAUCCCAGGAAGUAAAGCAAUAUAGCAACAGUCAAGUUGAAGUGGUCAAGGUUAUGCCAAGCCCCUGUCACCAACUGGUCAAUGGACCAGGUUUGCUGCUCUCAUGAGCCUGUGGAGGUAUUGCGGGACCCUGCGAUGAAGCCUUCAAAUUUUCUAUUUAAAGGUUGCUUCUGGGUAGCCCUCAGGAAUGGCCAAGGAGCCAUGGCGUACCCAGCGACGACAGCGUCGGUCUCAGAGCACGGCCGAAGCGAGCGGGCCGAGGACCCGGUCAUUCUUAGGAGGCGUUGAGUAGCAGAAUUUUUGGGUUUUGGUCGAUAUGCUGCUAAGAUGAUGCACUGAUGUCUGGUUUCCUUUAUCUUGACCGACUAGGAGACAGCAGCCCGGUGACAGCAGGAACCUCCCAGACAGCCUGGUGGCCUUGCUUUGCACCUGAUGUGGAUUCUCAUUCCUGGACAGCCAAGAGAUAAGUUGAGGGCUGUGACUUACAGAGGGGAUGGAAGGGGGUUGCUGUGUCAGGACUCACCAGGAGGGAUUUUUGAGUCAGCUUUGGAGCUGAGGAUAUCCAGGAAAUGUUGUCUUGAGGCCACACAAAAGCAAAGUGUCACUUUUGGUCCCAGUGCUGAGCUGAGCAGAGGAGGGCAGUCCCGGUGUGUUUUGUCAUGUGGCUAUUGUGCAUUGUGUUGUGUGGCUGUCUCAUGUCUUUUACCUUAGCCCUUUGAGGGGCCUAUCAGUAACCCUGGCAUCAUUCUUAGCAUCUGUGAUCUCUGCAUUUCUUGGCCUGGCACCAAUGCCACAGGACAUUUGACUCAGGAACUUGGACAGGCAUUGGAAUUGAAUUUCUCUUUAGGAGCAUCCAAUCAGAUGUCUUUGCAGGUCUUGUUCUGAGCUGUACAUACUGCUGUGCAUUGCAAAGAUCCAUUAUGGCAGAUUAGGGCUUGUAAGAAUGCAAGGAUAGGUAGAGGAUUCUGGCCGUAGGAUUCUCAGACAUCCAUCUUUGUAGUUCUUGGAAUAAACCAUUCUCUUAGCAGAUUCUUCCUCCAGGGUUCUCUGAGCCUCAUCGGUCUCACCUCGGUCAUCUAAUCUUGCGUUCUCUCAGUCCUUGCAGUCAUUCUUGCCAAGAGAUUUCUGUCCUUGUUGUGUCCCCCUUGUUUCUUGUGUCCUGUCCUGUGUCACGGGUGUCUGCACAUAUUUGUACCGGAGCUGCUCUGCCCUGCUGCCUAGUCUGGUGUAAUAGGACAAAUCCUGGGGGCUUGAAGUUCGUAGUGUGGGCUGUAGUUGGAUUAUAGAUGGGAUUUGUAGAUGGACCCAAGAUGUCUGGAGCUGUGAAGUUAUCCUGCAGCCCUUUGACAUUUGUCCUCACUUGCUUUUAGAUACAGGCGGAUAAAAUCCAUGGCAGAUCACCCCAUCCCAGGAAGUAAAACCACAUAUCAGAAGUCAAGGCGGGGUGGUCAAGGCAAUCCAUUUGGAGUAUGCAUAACUCCCCAUCACACACUGGCCGAUGGACUGUGAUCGUUGCUCUCGUGAGCCCUGUGGAAGUAUUACAGGACUUGGUGAUGAAGCCUCUGCCUUUCCUAUUUAAAUGUGUCACCCGGGUAGCCUUUGGCUGUGGCUGAGGAGUUGCAGUGGACCCUGCAAUGACGGCGUCAGCCUCCGAGCGCAGCCGAUGCGUGCAGCAUUCAUAAGAGACCCAGGCAUUGCUCGGAGAACGAGACAACAGCCCGGUGACAGCAGGAACUUCCCAGAUGGCGAGGCGGCCUUCUUUUGCAUCUGACACGGACCGGCAUCUCUACAGAUAAGUCGAUGGCUAUGACCCACAGAGGGGAUGAUAGUGGGGUGCUGGGUUGGGACUCACAGGAGGGUUUUUUGAGUCUGCUUUGGAGUUGGGGAUGUCCAAGAAGUGGCCCCUUAGGCCACACAAAAGCCAAGCGUCACUUUUGAUCACAAUGCUGAGGUGCUCAGGGCAGAGCAGUCCCGGAGGGUAUCGUGUCAGUUGUCUAUUGUGCGUUCUGUGUGUUUGGCUUUCUCAUGUCUUUUCCCUUAGCCCUUUGAGGGGCCUAUCAGAAACUCUGGCAUCAUUCUUAGCAUCUGUGAUCUCUGCAUUUCUUGGCCUGGCACCAAUGCCACAGGACUUUUGACUCGGGAGCUCGGACAGGCUUCAGAAUUGCACCUCUCUUUAGGAGCAUCCAGUCAGAUAUCUUUGCAGGUCUUGUUCUGAGCUGUAUUUACCUUGCAAGGAUCCAUUAUGGCAGAUUAGGGCUUGUAAGAAUGCAAAGAUAGUGAGAGGAUGCUGACCGUAGGAUUCUCAGACAUCCAUCUUUGUAGUUCUUGGAAUAAACCAUUCUCUUAGCAGAUUCUUCCUCCAGGGUUCUCUGAGCCUCAUCAGCUCGCCAUCAAUCUCAUCUCGGUCAUCUAAUCUUGCGUUCUCUCAGUCCUUGCAGUCAUUUUUCUUGCCAAGACAUUCCUGUCCCUGUUGUGUCCCCCUUGUUUGUCAUGUCCUGUCCUGUGUCACGGGUGUCUGCACAUAUUUGUGCCGGAGCUGCUCUGCCCUGCUGCAUAGUCUGGUGUAAUAGGACAAAUCCUGGGGGCUUGAAAUUUGUAGUGUGGGGUGUUGUUGGAUUAUAGGUGGGAUUUGUAGAUGGACACAGGGUGCCUGGAGCAGUGAAAUUAUCCUGCAGCCCUUUGACAUUUGUCCUGACUUUCUUUCAGAUGCAGGCAGAUAAAAUCCGUGACAGAGCACCCCAUCCUGGCUGAGGGGGUUCCUCCGAGCAGGUCAUUCACCGUUUGUCUCUGCAGGGGAAGUGUAAAUGGUGACUCUUACAGCACUGUUCUUUGGUUUUGUUUUUAGGAAGUAAAGCUGGAUAUCAGCAGUCAAGGCAAUCCAUUUGGAGUAGGCCGAGCCCCCCCACCCCCCAACCGGCCGAUGGAUCGGGUUUGCUGCUCUUGCGAGCCCUGUGGAGGAUCGCAGGACUCUGCGAUGAAGCCCUGAACCUUUCUGUUUACAGGUGCCAUCCGGCUGGCCUUUGGCAGCCGCCGAGGAGUUGCGGCACACCCUGCCACGAUGGCAUCGGCCUCCAAGCGUCGCUGAAGCUAAUGGCAUUAGGAGAUGCUAUGAGGCAGCAGCCCAGUGACAGCGAGAACUUCCCAGAUGGCAAGGCGGCCUUCUUUUGCACCUGAUGCAGAUUGGCAUCCCCAGAUGUCUGAGAGAUAAGUCAAGGGCUACGACUUGCCGAGGGGGUGAAUGCGGGGUGCUGGGUUGGGACUCACCGGGAGGGGUUUUUGAGUCUGCUUUGGGGCUGAGGCUAUCCAAGUAGUGUCCCCUUAGGCCACAUAAAGGGAAAGUGUCACUUUUGAUCCCAGCGCUGAGGUGCGCAGGGUAGAGCAGCCCCAGUGUGUAUCGUGUCACUUGUCUAACGUGCCUGGUGUUGUUUAUAUGUCUCAUGUCAUGCAUCGUCUACCUUAGCCCUUUGAGGGGCCCAUCAGAAACCCUGGCAUCAUUCUUAGCGUCUGUGAUCUCUGCAUUUCUUGGCCUGGCACAAAUGCAGUAGGACUUUUGGCUCAGGAGCUCAGACAGGCAUCAGAAUUGCAUUUCUCUUUAGGAGCAUCCAGUCAGAUGUCUUUGCGGGUCUUGUUCUGAGCCGUACGUACUGCUGCGCAUCGCAAGGAUCCAUUAUGGCAGAUUAGGGCUUGUAAGAAUGCAAAGACAGGUAGAGGAUUCUGCCCGUAGGAUUCUCAGACGUCCAUCUUUGCAGUUCUUUGACGAAAUCAUUCUCUUAGGAGAUACUUCCUCCAUGGUUGUCUGAGCCUCAUCACCUCACUGUCAAUCUCACCUCAGUCAUUUCAUUUUCCAUUCUCUCAGUCCUUGCAGUCAUUCUUCUUGUCAAGAGAUAGUAGUCCCCGUUGUGUCCUCAUUGUUUGUCCUGUCCCGUGUCACGGGCGUUCGCACACGUUUGUGCCGGAGCUGCUCUGCCCUGCCGCGUAGCCUGGUGUAAUAGGACACAUCCUGGGGGCUUGAAAUUUGUAAUGUGGGGUGUAGUUGGAUUCUAGAUGGUAUUCCUAGGUUGACUCUAGGAAGUUGUCUGGAGCUGUGAAGUUAUCCUGCUGCCCUUUGAACUUUGUCCUGACUCUGUUUCAGAUGCAGACAGAUAAAAUCCACGGCAGAACUCCCUAUCCCAGGAAGUAAAGCCAUCUAGCAGCAGUCAAGGCAAAGUGGUCGAGGCAGUCCACUUUCAAUCCGUGCCGGCUGAGGAUGCCCGAUGCCAGGUACCUUCCAGGCAGACUCUGGAGUCAAAUCAAGAUUUGAGGUACCACGAGGAGCUUCGUAGGCAAAGUUUGGAGAGAGCACCACCGAAGCACACGAGACCGUCUCAACGUCCACGUCCCACCGGGGAUGGAUUUUGUCAGCUCGUCAUCCAAAAGCUGAGUGUUGGGGUCCAUAGUUGGGAGAAGGGGAAAAACCUUUACUAUCACAGGAGGCCAUGUGAUGUUAGCUUAGCGGAGCAAUCCGUAGCGGAACAGGUCCCUCGGAUGUAAAGGGAGAGGGUUUCUCCUCGGCCUCACCAGAGCCUUUGCCGGGCAGGGCAGUUCCGACCCGUCUCCGCGUUCUCGCGAACUUUGCGUCGUCAGCCUCCUUCGACCCUCGACAUCGUCGUGGAUCUUUCUCCCGAGGAGCUCGCCUUCGGGUCCGGAGCUAUAGCCACCGUCACCCGGCAGUCUUUGCUUCCUUCUCUAGGCCCACCGAGCCUCUCGAGCAUCCUCUUAACUGCUUUGGCACUAACUUCUUUUAAGGAGUUGCAUUUCAUCGUCACACGCUAUUGCCAUAGGACUCGCUUUACUUUGGCAUCUUUGGCCUCUGGCUCAUCUUGCGCUAGGAAUCUUGAGUCCAUAAGGUGAAACUGCUAGGCAGUUUCCACCUGUGUCUGUGUUAUGUCAGCUGUGUCUGUGUUACGUUGUCUGUGUCCAUCGUCUUCCGUGUCGUAGGCCUUUGUUACAUCUCGACGCCAUAUCGGCCUCAUUCCGUGCCGUAUCGGCCAUAUUUUACUCGCGUUCCUUCCCGGACAUCGCUUAUUCUGCCAUCUCUCUUUUGAGACACAAAGUAGUACACAAGAGGUUCUCAUCAGUCUUCCGUCUCAGCUGCGGUCCCUGAGGCGACCGAUUUUCCUGGAAUCUACCAUUUGACGUGAAGGAGCAGCAGCCAGAUGACACGUCGAAGCACGUUCAUGGUUUCAAGUAGGGCUGCAGCGAGCAUUUAAGUCGAAGAGCAUGCGAGUCUGCGUGAGUGUGAGCGACCGUCUGCGUCCGCUUGUCUCUGCGUGUGCGAGUGUAUGCUGACCAGAUCUAACCUUGUGCGUGUGACGUUUGCCUUUCAGGUUUUUCAACACAUUUUAAAAUUUAGAAUAAAAAAUCCCCAGCCGGGGGGUUUUUUUUUUUCCCCCCCCCGGCUGGGUUUUUUUUUCCUCGGUCCCGGCCGGUCCGCGAGGCGACGUUCAUCGCCAAAGUUUGGGGGCGGACCGUCCCGGGACCGGGGUUUUUGUCAGGCAGGAGGAUUUUUUUGGAGGCUCCCGGGAACCACGUUCCCGAGGAGCGGCACGAAUGCGUGCCGGGGGUCAGCAGGGCGGUUGAGGUGCGAGCGAGGGUGGGUUUGUGUGUAAGCUGAAGGAGAGCUGUGGGUGCGUGUGUUGAUGACUGGUUCUAACCUUGUGUGUAUGACUUUUUCCUUUCAGGUUUUUCAACACAUUUUAAAAUUUAGAAUAAAAAAUCCCCAGCCGGGGGGGUUUUUUUUUUUUCCCCCCCGGCUGGGUUUUUUUUUCCUCGGUCCCGGCCGGUCCGCGAGGCGACGUUCAUCGCCAAAGUUUGGGGGCGGACCGUCCCGGGACCGGGGUUUUUGUCAGGCAGGAGGAUUUUUUUGGAGGCUCCCGGGAACCACGUUCCCGAGGAGCGGCACGAAUGCGUGCCGGGGGUCAGCAGGGCGGUUGAGGUGCGAGCGAGGGUGGGUUUGUGUGUAAGCUGAAGGAGAGCUGUGGGUGCGUGUGUUGAUGACUGGUUCUAACCUUGUGUGUAUGACUUUUUCCUUUCAGGUUUUUCAACACAUUUUAAAAUUUAGAAUAAAAAAUCCCCAGCCGGGGGGGUUUUUUUUUUUUUCCCCCCCGGCUGGGUUUUUUUUUCCUCGGUCCCGGCCGGUCCGCGAGGCGACGUUCAUCGCCAAAGUUUGGGGGCGGACCGUCCCGGGACCGGGGUUUUUGUCAGGCAGGAGGAUUUUUUUGGAGGCUCCCGGGAACCACGUUCCCGAGGAGCGGCACGAAUGCGUGCCGGGGGUCAGCAGGGCGGUUGAGGUGCGAGCGAGGGUGGGUUUGUGUGUAAGCUGAAGGAGAGCUGUGGGUGCGUGUGUUGAUGACUGGUUCUAACCUUGUGUGUAUGACUUUUUCCUUUCAGGUUUUUCAACACAUUUUAAAAUUUAGAAUAAAAAAUCCCCAGCCGGGGGGUUUUUUUUUUUUCCCCCCGGCUGGGUUUUUUUUUCCUCGGUCCCGGCCGGUCCGCGAGGCGACGUUCAUCGCCAAAGUUUGGGGGCGGACCGUCCCGGGACCGGGGUUUUUGUCAGGCAGGAGGAUUUUUUUGGAGGCUCCCGGGAACCACGUUCCCGAGGAGCGGCACGAAUGCGUGCCGGGGGUCAGCAGGGCGGUUGAGGUGCGAGCGAGGAUGGGUUUGUGUGUAAUGUGAAGGAGGUGUUCACAAUGGAUGUGUGUUGCGUUCUGUGUGCUGCCUUUGUUUUGGGGUUCCUGUAACAAUAAAUCCAAGUGUAAUGAAAGUAGAAAAAAGGUUGUCAUCUUGUGUUAAUAUGUGUUUGGCUUAUGUUUGGUGUUGUCUUGUAUUUGCAUUUCUGUAUAUUGCUCUGUAUGUAAAUUGGACUUUUACCAGCAUGUGUAUGGAUUGUAUGUGUACUCACAUUUGUAUACACUCUUUCCAUGUGUUUUGCUCAAGUGUAAAUAGGAAAAUUCAUUUAAUAAAGUUGCAUCAACCUGAAUAAAGAUUCCCCCAACCCCCCCUUGGCUC
Long non-coding RNA from Passer domesticus (house sparrow), 10633 nucleotides. RefSeq lists it as uncharacterized. The record is from RefSeq and is a predicted model, not a curated record. NCBI's taxonomy places the organism in Eukaryota, Metazoa, Chordata, Aves, Passeriformes, Passeridae. The transcript is spliced from 24 exons.